Molecule: ribosomal RNA, 496 nt
Filed under: uncultured bacterium
Lineage: Bacteria
Description: partial 16S ribosomal RNA
Rfam family: Bacterial small subunit ribosomal RNA
Source: RNAcentral
GAUGAACGCUGGCGGCGUGCCUAAUACAUGCAAGUCGAACGCAUAGCGAAAGGUGCUUGCACCUUUCAAGUGAGUGGCGAACGGGUGAGUAACACGUGGACAACCUGCCUCAAGGCUGGGGAUAACAUUUGGAAACAGAUGCUAAUACCGAAUAAAACUUAGUGUCGCAUGACACAAAGUUAAAAGGCGCUUCGGCGUCACCUAGAGAUGGAUCCGCGGUGCAUUAGUUAGUUGGGGGGGUAAAGGCCUACCAAGACAAUGAUGCAUAGCCGAGUUGAGAGACGGUUCGGCCCAAUUGGGACUGAGACACGGCCCAAACUCCUACGGGAGGCUGCAGUAGGGAAUCUUCCACAAUGGGCGAAAGCCUGAUGGAGCAACGCCGCGUGUGUGAUGAAGGCUUUCGGGUCGUAAAGCACUGUUGUAUGGGAAGAACAGCUAGAAUAGGAAAUGAUUUUAGUUUGACGGUACCAUACCAGAAAGGGACGGCUAAAUACGU